This 492-nucleotide ribosomal RNA is filed under the name uncultured bacterium. RNAcentral's name for it is "partial 16S ribosomal RNA". It matches the Rfam family "Bacterial small subunit ribosomal RNA", at positions 29 to 507 of the family's 1533-position model. The record is from RNAcentral.
AGUGAACGCUGGCGGUAGGCCUAACACAUGCAAGUCGAACGGCAGCUCAGUAAGAGCUUGCUCUUACGGGUGGCGAGUGGCGGACGGGUGAGGAAUACAUCGGAAUCUACUUUUUCGUGGGGGAUAACGUAGGGAAACUUACGCUAAUACCGCAUACGACCUACGGGUGAAAGCAGGGGAUCUUCGGACCUUGCGCGAUUGAAUAAGCCGAUGUCGGAUUAGCUAGUUGGCGGGGUAAAGGCCCACCAAGGCGACGAUCCGUAGCUGGUCUGAGAGGAUGAUCAGCCACACUGGAACUGAGACACGGUCCAGACUCCUACGGGAGGCAGCAGUGGGGAAUAUUGGACAAUGGGCGCAAGCCUGAUCCAGCCAUACCGCGUGGGUGAAGAAGGCCUUCGGGUUGUAAAGCCCUUUUGUUGGGAAAGAAAAGCAGCAGGUUAAUACCCCGCUGUUCUGACGGUACCCAAAGAAUAAGCACCGGCUAACUUCGUG